CCUACGGGGGGCUGCAGUGGGGAAUAUUGGACAAUGGGGGGAACCCUGAUCCAGCCAUGCCGCGUGUGUGAAGAAGGCCUUUUGGUUGUAAAGCACUUUAAGCGAGGAGGAGGCUACUCUAGUUAAUACCUAGGGAUAGUGGACGUUACUCGCAGAAUAAGCACCGGCUAACUCUGUGCCAGCAGCCGCGGUAAUACAGAGGGUGCAAGCGUUAAUCGGAUUUACUGGGCGUAAAGCGCGCGUAGGUGGCCAAUUAAGUCAAAUGUGAAAUCCCCGAGCUUAACUUGGGAAUUGCAUUCGAUACUGGUUGGCUAGAGUAUGGGAGAGGAUGGUAGAAUUCCAGGUGUAGCGGUGAAAUGCGUAGAGAUCUGGAGGAAUACCGAUGGCGAAGGCAGCCAUCUGGCCUAAUACUGACACUGAGGUGCGAAAGCAUGGGGAGCAAACAGGAUUAGAUACCCGAGUAGUC
RNAcentral lists this ribosomal RNA (466 nucleotides) under uncultured Acinetobacter sp. RNAcentral's name for it is "bacterial SSU rRNA". It matches the Rfam family "Bacterial small subunit ribosomal RNA", at positions 338 to 795 of the family's 1533-position model. The record is from RNAcentral. Lineage: Bacteria; Pseudomonadati; Pseudomonadota; Gammaproteobacteria; Moraxellales; Moraxellaceae.